Bufo gargarizans (Asiatic toad) is the source of this 359-nucleotide long non-coding RNA. RefSeq lists it as uncharacterized. Lineage: Eukaryota; Metazoa; Chordata; Amphibia; Anura; Bufonidae. The record is from RefSeq and is a predicted model, not a curated record. The transcript is spliced from 3 exons.
GCUAGGUGCACCCCUGACUGCACUGACAUCUGCAGCUGCCAACGGACACUGCCUUUCUCCAUCACCUUCAAGGGAGAAUCAACUUCAAGAAGGAGAACCCCAAAGUCCAAGGUCUGCCUUGAAGGUGUGCCCUUCCCAUCAGUGCACAGCCCAGGGGAGUGUCAGCGAACCACACAGCACAACCACCUUUGCACUAGUUCUCAUUUACAGUAAAUGACUCCAGAAUCGCCUAUCUGUGAAUCAGCCAGCAGUCUUCCUGUCUGAGAUCUGCUAAUAAUUAUGUGUAUUCUGAAGAACAAUCACAAGGACGUGGAGACUUUGAAGGAUGAUUUGAAAGAAGUAAAGCCAGCAAAAGAUGA